Molecule: ribosomal RNA, 548 nt
Filed under: uncultured Glomeromycotina
Lineage: Eukaryota; Fungi; Glomeromycota
Description: SSU rRNA
Rfam family: Eukaryotic small subunit ribosomal RNA
Source: RNAcentral
UUGGAGGGCAAGUCUGGUGCCAGCAGCCGCGGUAAUUCCAGCUCCAAUAGCGUAUAUUAAAGUUGCUGCAGUUAAAAAGCUCGUAGUUGAAUUUCGGGACCAUCAUGUCGGUCGUGCCUCGGUACGUACUGGCAUUGUUGGUUUCUCCCUUCUGACGAACCAUGAUGUCAUUUAUUUGGUGUUGUGGGGAAUCAGGACUGUUACUUUGAAAAAAUUAGAGUGUUUAAAGCAGGCUCACGCUUGAAUACAUUAGCAUGGAAUAAUGAAAUAGGACGUUUGAUUCUAUUUUGUUGGUUUCUAGGAUCGACGUAAUGAUUAAUAGGGAUAGUUGGGGGCAUCAGUAUUCAAUUGUCAGAGGUGAAAUUCUUGGAUUUAUUGAAGACUAACUACUGCGAAAGCAUUUGCCAAGGAUGUUUUCAUUAAUCAAGAACGAAAGUUAGGGGAUCGAAGACGAUCAGAUACCGUCGUAGUCUUAACCAUAAACUAUGCCGACUAGGGAUCGGAUGAUGUUAAUUUUUUAAUGACUCAUUCGGCGCCUUACGGGAAAC